UCGAGGGGCAGCGGGGAAGUAGCAAUACUUCCGCCGGCGACCGGCGCACGGGUGAGUAACACGUAUGGAACCUGCCCGUAGCAGGGGGAUAAGCGGAAGAAAUUCCGUCUAAUAUCGCGUAAUAACUCCGAGAGGCAUCUCCUGGGGUUUAAAGGGUAACACCGGCUACGGAUGGCCAUGCGGCGCAUUAGCUAGUUGGCGGGGUAACGGCCCACCAAGGCGACGAUGCGUAGGGGUUCUGAGAGGAAGGUCCCCCACACUGGUACUGAGACACGGACCAGACUCCUACGGGAGGCAGCAGUGAGGAAUAUUGGUCAAUGGGCGCGAGCCUGAACCAGCCAAGUCGCGUGAGGGAAGACGGUCCUAUGGAUUGUAAACCUCUUUUGUCGGGGAGCAAAAGACGCCACGUGUGGCGUUCCGAGAGUACCCGAAGAAAAAGCAUCGGCUAACUCCGUGCCAGCAGCCGCGGUAAUACGGAGGAUGCGAGCGUUAUCCGGAUUUAUUGGGUUUAAAGGGUGCGCAGGCGGAAGAUCAAGUCAGCGGUAAAAUUGAGAGGCUUAACCUCUUCGAGCCGUUGAAACUGGUUUUCUUGAGUGAGCGAGAAGUAUGCGGAAUGCGUGGUGUAGCGGUGAAAUGCA
RNAcentral lists this ribosomal RNA (638 nucleotides) under uncultured bacterium. Its description in RNAcentral is "bacterial SSU rRNA". It matches the Rfam family "Bacterial small subunit ribosomal RNA", at positions 62 to 690 of the family's 1533-position model. The record is from RNAcentral.